RNAcentral lists this non-coding RNA (262 nucleotides) under Bacillota bacterium. RNAcentral describes it as "Firmicutes bacterium T-box sequence". It matches the Rfam family "T-box leader". Rfam says of the family: Uncharged tRNA acts as the effector for transcription antitermination of genes in the T-box leader family. T-boxes are found upstream of many aminoacyl-tRNA synthetase genes and some amino acid biosynthetic genes usually in Gram-positive bacteria. The anticodon of a specific tRNA base pairs to a specifier sequence within the T-box motif, and the NCCA acceptor tail of the tRNA base pairs to a conserved bulge in the T-box antiterminator hairpin. The record is from RNAcentral. Lineage: Bacteria; Bacillati; Bacillota.
AGAAAAGCAAAGAUAAGAACAAGUAGCAGUAAAGAAAGCGGACAGAGAGGCGCCGGCUGGUGAGAGGCCCCCGUGGAAUUUCCUGUGAAUACCUCUUGGAGCUUCGCACCGAAUUUGUUCAUGGAGAUGAAGAUAGUAGGCUGUGACGGAAGGACCUCCGUUAUACGGGUCAGAGUAUUGCAGGAGCAGUACUUACAGAGGCAGGGAACGUGAGUUGUCUGUGAAUUUAGGUGGUAACACGGGAUCUUUUCCCGUCCUAAAA